This 82-nucleotide non-coding RNA is filed under the name marine eukaryotic metagenome. RNAcentral's name for it is "Cyclic di-GMP-I riboswitch". It matches the Rfam family "c-di-GMP-I riboswitch aptamer". Rfam says of the family: GEMM was predicted in a large-scale screen for bacterial structured RNA regulatory elements. Genes associated with GEMM are involved in a diverse array of functions, including chemotaxis regulation, signal transduction, secretion and chitin. The record is from RNAcentral.
CGAUAAAGGCAAACCCGACCGAAAGGCGGGGACGCAAAACCACCGGUCUAAGGGCGCGAGUCUACGACAGCGGGGUCGCCGG